RNAcentral lists this ribosomal RNA (454 nucleotides) under uncultured Porphyromonas sp. RNAcentral's name for it is "partial 16S ribosomal RNA". It matches the Rfam family "Bacterial small subunit ribosomal RNA", at positions 341 to 792 of the family's 1533-position model. Lineage: Bacteria; Pseudomonadati; Bacteroidota; Bacteroidia; Bacteroidales; Porphyromonadaceae. The record is from RNAcentral.
ACGGAAGGCAGCAGUGAGGAAUAUUGGUCAAUGGAGGCAACUCUGAACCAGCCAUCUCGCGUGAAGGAAUACGGCCCUACGGGUCUUAAACUUCUUUUAUAGGGGGAUAAAGUGAGCCACGUGUGGCUUUUUGUAGGUACCCUAUGAAUAAGCAUCGGCUAACUCCGUGCCAGCAGCCGCGGUAAUACGGAGGAUGCGAGCGUUAUCCGGAUUUAUUGGGUUUAAAGGGUGCGCAGGCGGCACGUUAAGUCAGCGGUGAAAUGUCGGGGCUCAACCCGGGCACUGCCGUUGAAACUGGCGAGCUUGAGUACGGAUGAAGUCGGCGGAAUGUGAUGUGUAGCGGUGAAAUGCUUAGAUAUGUCACAGAACACCGAUUGCGAAGGCAGCUGACGAAUCCGCAACUGACGCUCAGGCACGAAAGCGUGGGGAUCGAACAGGAUUAGAUACCCUGGUA